This is a non-coding RNA of Zonotrichia albicollis (white-throated sparrow), 7220 nucleotides long. The record is from RefSeq and is a predicted model, not a curated record. NCBI's taxonomy places the organism in Eukaryota, Metazoa, Chordata, Aves, Passeriformes, Passerellidae.
UAAUUUAUCCUCGGUUUUCCUGGCAAAACUGAACCACCCACUGCCACAACGUAGUUUUAAAACACAUUGAUUUUGAUAGCAUGAGGGGAAAGGGAUGCGGCGAGUGCGCAAGCGCGUUACCAGGCUCCCAGUGCUAUACUGGCUUCUUUAUGAAAUAAAGGAUAAAAAGCCCAACCCACCCUAUUUCUGUGAACAGACACACAGCACACACCUGCGAGCAGGGUUUUGCUAUUUCAUAUUCCAGAUUUCCUUCAUCGUAUCAGUGAUUACAGCAUCCUGCAGCCCUAUUUCCUGAAAAUUACCAAUUUUCACCCAGAUUUGGCUUUGAGUGGUUAAAGUUAUAUCUUUAUUUUGAUGAAAUGUCCAGUAAAGCAGUGUGAGCGAGAUGUUUUACUGAAAUAAAAACGUGGAUAUUUUUCGAAGAGGUUAUCCCCUUUGUCAAGGAGGAUUAUUGAUGUCUGGAAUUUAUCACUGGGGGAAAAAAAGUGGAGAAGGAAGGGGAAUAAAUAUGUAUAUAAUAAUAUAUACUUUAAUUCUCCGUGCUGCUAAACUUUCCCUCACAGCCAGGCUGGGGAAUAUGCUUUAAUCUCAUUUAUUGGAUUGCUUCAUCUGAGUAUGUUGCUUUUUAUUUUAUUGUUUGUUUGUUUUUUUGCUGAGGCGAUGGGGCUCUAGGCGGGGAGUUAAGCACGAAGGGAUUCGUGAGGAAAAAGAGAAACUCCUGAAGAAAAAAAAAGAUAAAACGAAGAGGAAAAGGAAGGUUUUGGGUGACAAAAGGCGGCGCCGGCCGGGGCUGCCCCUCACGGCCCCUCAGGCGCUGCCCCCCCGCGCUCGCUUCACAAAAUGGCCGCCCGGCGGGGCCGCGGGAGCGGCUCUGAGGCGACAAAAUGGCGGCGGGCGGAAAGCGGGGGGAAGGACGGGCGAGGAGCGGUGUGGGCACAGCGGAGGGCUCUGAUGCUGUGGGAAUCCCCUCCGGGCGGGCGGCGAAAGCGCUGCGGGUGAAACCUGACCUUCUUCUUAUCCCCCCCUCCCUCCUGCCCUUUUCUCCUGGCCGCCUUUGCGAAAAGAUGUGAAAAUGGCCAGAAAUGCGCAUUUUUAUUCGGCCAUGGCGGAGCCGCCGGUUUUUUCCCUCACCUCAGCUCGCCCCCGCUCCCCCAAUUAUACCCCUAAAAUAUUAUUUCUUUUUCCCUCACAGCUGAGCGGUUUUGGCCCUGUAUUGCGCUUUCCACAUGCCCCCCCCCCUCCACCCCUCCCUUCAUCAUCACCACACACACACCCCCCAAAGCUGGGUAGUUUUAUGCCUAAUUCUUCGCUUUUCCACCGCUUUUCUCCUUCGCAGGGGUUGAAGCCGCCAUCUCCCGGUCUCCUCACGGCAUGGAAAAUCCCCAAAAGUGCUUAAGGAAAAAAAAAAAAAAAACACACCACCAAAAAAAAGUCCCAAACGCAGGAGGAUUGAUUUAUCAUCGCAGCCGGAGUGGAAUGGGAAGAAGCCAUCGCUGCUCGCCUGCUCCCCACGACAGCUCGCCCGCCAUUCGCUUAAUUAAAAUCAUAUAUUGGUGUGAUGAGACGUGGUAAUACCAUUAAAAAAACCCAAAUCCCGUAACAUCCACACGCUGGUUGUUGGAGGCUGUAGCCCAGUGCUGGAAUCUGCAUUGGCAGGUGUGCAAAUGUGGAGACUGUAAAAGCAGCAAGUGAGGAUGGAUGAGCUGUUUUCUGGGGUCAUAUCCAACUCCAGAGAAGAAACCCUGGUGAUUUAUAAUUUUUUUCUUGUCUCUGAGCUGAUAACCACAGACCUGGUGCUGGUUUCUGCAGGUCACACACGGCUGGGAGAGGCAGCUUCCCGCAGUCAUUAGCACACAGGGAGUGCUGGGGGGUCGUUAAAUGAGGAUAUCACAUCGGGAUUCCAUGCAUGCCGCUGCCUGACCCGGCCCUGGAGAAGCCCCUCAGGAGAAAUUAUUUCACUUGACUGGUUGCUGCAGGGAUUUCUAGCACAGCUAUGGUGUUAUCCUUGUUUUUGGCCAAAAUGAAGUGCAGGGUGGGGAUGAGGUGGCCAGGCCGGGUUUCAUACCCUGCUCCCUGUGGUAGGUGUGUGAACAGUGUGCCCAAAGCCUUGUUUGGAAUAAGGCAGUGUGGACAGGGGUUUGGGUUUUAUUCCCUCAUUGGGGCUGUGCUGGUUUGGAGAUGCACCUUGUACUCUUCAUGGGCCUUUGCUGGCAGGGAGGUUUGGAGGAGCAAGAAGCUGCCUGUUGGGAUGAUUCCACAUUUUUCAGGCUGGCACACCCUGUGGGACUCCAAAUUACUUUCCUUUGGCAGUUUAGCAUAAACUGAGAAUUGCCUUGUGAGCACUGAACUUUUACCACCCUGCAGAGUUACUCGAGCUACAUCCAUGAUAUUUCCAAGCUAAACAAAACCUGAAUUUCCAGUGCCAAAAAGCGAUACAAACCUCCACUCCUCCUCUGUUCAGGAGAAAACCACAGUCUUUCAAGCUCUGCUCUUAGCCCAAGGAGUUAAAAAGCUGCACUGUGAGAUCUGCAGAGGUGAAAAUAAAAGCCAAAGGCAGAUGAGGAACUUCUCCCAUGCCGUGUUGGAGGAGAGGCUGUAGAGCACAGCAGGUGUUGAUGCACAAAUAUUUCUCUUUGUGCUUUCUCUGGAGUGAAGGAGUGGUAACUCCACAGACAUGGGGUCACUCCCCUUCAUUUAAACACCCUCAUGUUGCUGUGGUAUCAAAAUGGUGUUUGAUGAAACCAAAGCUCAGAUGGUGGUGGCUUGGAGUUUAUUUUGUGCUGCUCAAUCCAAUGCAGAACGUGGGGAGAGCAGCCUGUAGCUUGCAGGUUUGGACUGUGGGGCUGGUGCUAAAGCCUUGUCCUGUAACAUUUCCAGUGUAAUUUCUGAGAUUUUUUUUUUUUCUCCUGGGCAUUGCACACCGGUAAAAAUCACAUCUGGAUGUAGAUUUAAUACAACAAUUAAGUGUUAAAAAUGGCAAAGUAUAGGAUUCUGUGAUCUAACCAGUCCUAGGGGAUUUACAUCCUUUGCAGUUGUCCUGUUUGGGUAUCAAAUCACAUAGAACUGUCUUUUUUAUGUUUAUUUUCUUUGGCUUUCCCUUAAAAUGCGAUCUUUUGCAGCCUGGAUGGCCACAGUCCUGUCUAGUGAUGAAAGCCCUGUGUUUGGGGAGAACCCUUGUGAGGUGAGCAGACACAGCUCUCUGGCACAGGAGUUUGGGAGCAAGGGGAAGCAGGACAGAAGCUGGCACUGUGAUAUUCCUGUGAUUUUUUAUUUUUUCCAGCAGGCUAUAAAAAGGUAUUCUUUUUAAUAUUUCUUUCUACCACACCAUAAGCAAGAGUAACUCUUUUGCAAAUGCUUUGUUGUCACGUCGGUUUUGAUAACAUGGCUUAACCAUCACACUGGGUUCUGCUGCUGAAGAAACCUCUUUUUUUAGAAGGAAUUUUAAAAACAGAAAUGUGCUUUUAUAUAGAGAUAAAAGUGGGUUCAAUGUCAACUGAAGGCCAGGGGCCCCUGUAUCCUGGGCUGUGGGACGUGGCUGUGUUAAACCACUGGCUAAAAUGGCGGCAUUUUGUGGCAGCUCCUGUCCCUGGCAUCGUGGAUAAGAACACCACAGGGAAGAGAGUCAGAAAAUAAAUUACUAAAUGCUGCAUUUCAAAAACAUGAAGGGAGUUUUCUGCACAAAGUCAUCUCAUCAGGAAGAUUUGGAGCUCUAACCCUCAAAAAGAACUGAAAUCAAGAGGUUUAUUAAUAUAAAUCCUGUGCUUUGUGUUGUUAAGGCUCCAGAAACCAGCUCUGUGCUCCACUGUUUUCAGCCCCUGAGCCCAUAGCCUCUGUCUUGGCAACAAAUGGGCCUAAAUAUCAAACAGCACCAAUUCCUUCUUGGAGAAAACGAGCAUAAAGCAGAAUGGGUAAGCUAUAAAAUUAGGCCAAUAAUUCAGGCUGGCUUAAAAAGGAGAUAAAAGCCUAGCUGGGAAUUUGAUAUUCAGCUGUCAUAGCGUUCUUUUAAUAAAUUCUAUCAAUGAGCAAGGAAGACCUGUAAAUACAUUUUAUCCUGACAAGAUGGUGGCUGGAGCUGGCUGGCUCAAACAAAGGAACACCCUGAGUGUUUCUUGGGGCUCUUUGCUGGGAAACCUCCUGCUUUUUUACAGAAAGGAACCGGCUGUGCACUGGUGGUGGGGAGAACCCUCAUGUUCCCACUGAGAUCCCCGUGAAUCCCAGCUGAUGUAGCCAGGGAGCAGUGCAGUGUCCCCCUUUCCCAGCACACCACACAGAGAUGUUGCUGAGCCAGACCUGAGGGUAGGAAAUGAUGGUCAGAGCCAACAAGUCCUGCUUGCUGUCCUUGUCCAGCAGCUAAUCUUUGCUUUUUGGGACGUUUGCUGAGCGGUCUCAGCGAUGCGUGGCAGCUCCGCCGCUCGGGAAAGGCGCCGCGUUCAAAAUGGAUAAACCUGCCUUUUGAAGCAUUGUGUCUGCCCACUUGUAUUUAUUGGUUUUUCCUCCUCAAAGAGAGGCUGCUGUGUGGACCCCAAGGAUGUUUUCCGCUUCUCCUGCCUUUUUUUUCCCCUUCAAACUGGAGAGCUGCUAACUUUAUUAGCUCCUUAUAUGGCAGCCCCAUUUUCUCACGCCUUUAAUGGCUCUCUUUUGAUCUGUCCUGUUCUUGCCUUGCUUUUCCUGACAUGAACGUGGUGUUCAAGCUGAGAUGGGUUUAUAACCUGCUCCCUCACUAAUAAAUGGCCUGGCACUUUAAUCCUCUCCAAGCACUGAUAAGAAACAUCCAAAUGUUUUAACUGUGGGGCUGGCUGAGUUGUCUGUAGAUAGCCGACUCUCAGCUACACCCUCCCAGGAGUAAUUUAAAUUGUUCCUUGCAGUGUGUAUCCCAAAGGCCGAGGGUCAUGGAGAGCAGCUCAGCUCCCCUUGUCCUGAGCUGUUUGGCCGCUGGGAAGGGCAGCACACAGGGCAGUGCAGCCAUGUCUCACCCUUGGGUGCUCCUCAUGCUGUUUCUCACGGAGGACACUGGGCUGGCACAAAUGCGUGUCCUGCAGACACAAGGAUGGUGUUGGUCCUUCAUCACAGCCCCUCUGACCUGCUCAGGGCAGAGUUGUACCUGCUCUGCUCUCCAGCCUGGGUCUGUGUUCUUUAAAAUCUUCGACUGAGCUGGGGGGAUCUGGUUACAGCAGCAUCGCUGGUGUGGUUGCAACCAGGAACAGCUUCCCUGCAAAGCAUUUGAAGAGUAUCACCAUGGUCCAGAGCUUUGUUUUGCAUCACCAGCCGAGCUUUUUGCUGCUCUUCCAGCUGGCUGUUGUGUAAAUGGAGCCCUCCUGGCACUCAUCUCAGCCCUCUCCUGUCAACAGAGUCGAUGGCUUUGUUUGUGACAGCUCCCAGCCCCUGCGUGUCCUGUGCGAUGGCCGGGUGACAGCAGUGACUCCGUGUGAGAUUCCCUGGAAGCACCUGGGAGCUGCUGUGGUUUCCUCGUGUCCCUUGGAGGUGCCACCCCAGCAGGGAGGAAGAGCAGUUGGGAUUGCAGCUGCAGCAAAUGCACCCCAUCAGAGAAAGAGAUUUUGUCAUGGAAGAGCUGUUUGAUUUUUUGGUGGUUUUCUGGUUUGGGUUUUUCCUCUCCGAAAUGGAGAGCCCCUUAAAGGUAGAGACAGGUACAAACUGCUCCUUGGGCUUCCCAUCAGGUAAAGAAAUGGAAAGCUGAGCCCAGCUCCUCACUGGAAGUGCGGGUGGAGUGUGUUGGCAACGCAUUUUCUUGUGUGCACGUGGCUCCAUCACAGGUUUUGAAUAAUAGAUGGUUUGCAUGCAAGGAGUCGUCGGGGUUUUUAAUUAAUCAGUAGAUCUCAGUUUGGCAGAGCCCAUCAUCACUGGGGAAACUGAGGCACGGGGCUGCCAAAGGAUGGGCUUGCAGCCACUGGAGCCGGGGAUAAGGCUCGGGGCCACCACAGAUGGAGUCCGUGUGCGUCAGAGACGUGAUUAAAUCAGGAGAUUUGCAUGUUUGUUAAGCCACUACAGCUCGGUGACUUUGACCAGUAGCAAGGUGGACUUGUUGCCGGAAGAUUGCGGUGUCCGGCUGGACUGGGUGGCAAAGGCAGCUCUGACCAAUAAAACACAGGCUUGAUCAAUACCAAAACGUCAUCAGGAGACUUUGGCCAUGGAAAAUACUGAAAUACAGGUUUGUUCUGUGGUGGAAGCGGUGGAGGCUUUAAACACCAACACUCCUGGCUGUGGGUGUGUGUUUUAUCCUGACCUCACAAUGGGAUCUAAUUUUCAUUUUGGGACAUAGAAAUAGGUGCUUUAUCAGUGCAGUGGCAUAUUUUUGGUGGAAAAGAUCUUGUGGGUUAAAAAACAUCUAGUUGUAUGUUGCAGAGCUGGGGUGUGACAUGUCAGACAACUAGAGAUGGGUGAUAUUGGCAAUGGGCAAUUUCUUCACCCUGUGUUAAUUAAGGAGCUGUGCCAGCCCCUGUGGGGGAGUGGAAGGUGAAUCCUUCCCACAGUGGGAGUUUUUCCUGUGUGGUUUUUGGGGCAGCCUGGUCUCCCUUCUGUUGGGGGAAAUAGAACUUGGGACACCCUGCUUGGGUGGAGGGAGUGUGCCAGGGUGCCACAUUGUCCCUGUGUCCCAGGGUGCCACAUUGUCCCUGUGUCCCAGGGUGCCACAUUGUCCCUGUGCCAGUGGAGGGGAGCACGCGGAGCAGCCAAGGGGGUUUGGAGAUCCCCCUGCAGCCCCACUCAGGCUUCCUGCUGCUCUGGCCUUUGGAGCCAUUGGACACCAGGGCAGCGUGGGGCCCUCCCUGCCAUCACCUCAAUUCACUUUUUACCUGUCUGCCCACUGGCCACGGCUGGGUGUGUGCUCACCUGGGGAUGAAGGUGGCUGGUGCCCCAGGAUUUUGGAAUCCUUAUGGGAUUAGGGGGAGCUGUAGGUUUGGGGGUCAGCAGGACCUUGCCCUUGCAGUGCAACCCGUUCUGUCUCUCACAGUUCCCCCGUUCCAACUCCCCCAGCCCCUUUUCUCACAGCCCCACCACGACUCCCAGAGCACCCAUACAUUUCCCACAGCCCCUCAUCACAAUUCUCACGGAGCCUGGUACCUCUCUCACAGCCCCAUUACAAUUUUCAAAGCCCCUGUAAUGAUCCUCACAGCCCCCCAGUAAGACUCUCAGAGCCCCCCUCGUUGUCUUGCAAUCCCCAAUUGUGUCUGAGUCUCCCACUGUUUCACAAUCCUAAUUCUCCC